This 433-nucleotide ribosomal RNA is filed under the name uncultured bacterium. RNAcentral describes it as "partial 16S ribosomal RNA". It matches the Rfam family "Bacterial small subunit ribosomal RNA", at positions 29 to 507 of the family's 1533-position model. The record is from RNAcentral.
AGCGAACGCUGGCGGCAGGCCUAACACAUGCCAGUCGAACGAACUCUUCGGAGUUAGUGGCGGACGGGUGAGUAACACGUGGGAACGUGCCUUUUGGUUCGGAAUAACUCAGGGAAACUUGUGCUAAUACCGAAUGUGCCCUUCGGGGGAAAGAUUUAUCGCCAUUAGAGCGGCCCGCGUCUGAUUAGCUAGUUGGUGAGGUAACAGCUCACCAAGGCGACGAUCAGUAGCUGGUCUGAGAGGAUGACCAGCCACACUGGGACUGAGACACGGCCCAGACUCCUACGGGAGGCAGCAGUGGGGAAUCUUGCGCAAUGGGCGAAAGCCUGACGCAGCCAUGCCGCGUGAAUGAUGAAGGUCCUAGGAUUGUAAAAUUCUUUCACCGGGGACGAUAAUGACGGUACCCGGAGAAGAAGCCCCGGCUAACUUCGUG